Molecule: long non-coding RNA, 4330 nt
Filed under: Coffea arabica (coffee)
Lineage: Eukaryota; Viridiplantae; Streptophyta; Magnoliopsida; Gentianales; Rubiaceae
Description: long non-coding RNA (CARA_LNC000693)
Source: RNAcentral
UAAGGCAAGGGAUGUUUUGGAAGAGAUGAGAGAGUAUGGAUGCUAUCCUGAUGUCGCAGCUUACAAUGCUGCUAUUAGAAAUUUCUGUAUUGCAAAGAGGAUUGGGGAUGCCUACGGUUUGAUGAAUGAGAUGGUAAAGAAGGGGUUGAGCCCAAAUGCAACUACUUAUAAUAUUUUGUUGAGGACAUUUUAUUGGUGGAAUGAUUUGAUAAGUUCAUGGAACUUGUACCUGAGAAUGAGGGAAACAGGGUGUCUACCAAACACUCAAUCUUGUAUGUUUUUGAUCAGGUUGUUGAGAAGGCACGAGAAGGUUGAAAUGGCACUUGAGCUAUGGAAUGAUAUGGUGGAGAUGGGGUUUGGCUCUUAUAUAUUGGUCUCUGACGUUUUGUUUGAUUUGCUUUGUGACAUGGGGAAGUUGGAUGAGGCUGAGAGGUCUUUCUUGCAGAUGGUGGAGAAAGGGCAAAAACCAAGUAAUGUUUCAUUUAGGAGGAUUAAGGUGCUUAUGGAAUUGGCUAAUAGGCAGGAUGCUCUUCGUAAUUUGUCAGAGAAGAUGGCUCUUUUUGGCGGAUCUAUUAAACUUGCUGGGAGUGAAGAGAGUGACUUGGAAACAUCAGGCUCCAUGACUUGCUGAAUACAAUUUUCCAACUAUUCCAUCCAUGAAGUAUACUGCCAGGAUGCUGAGAUCAACAUUUUGUUGCCAUGUCAGCAGAAAUUUUUAUCAAUUGCGCCUCCAGAGGUGCAUCUAUAUGACAUGCCAGUUUCUCGCAAUUGCGUGUCCAGAAGUGCAUUUGUAUGACAUGCCAGUUUCUUGUUAAUUAGAUUAGGCAGAGUGUCAACAUGUUCUAGCUAUGUUGCAAUCAGUUUGAGUGGUGGCUGAGUAGAGCUGCUGAUCUGAUCCUUUUUUUUCUUUUUCCUUUUAUGGGUAGCAAUCAUCAUUCUUGCUGAUGUUUUUGGCUGCUCAAACUUUGAAAUUGCUUUCAUUUAGAUGUAUACCACAAGUAAAAUUUUGGUUGUAGUUGUUUCCCUCAGAGCUUAAAUCUUUUGAUGACAAUUUGUCACUCAUAGAGUUAUUAAUUGAAUCCGCUUCUAGGUUUUGUUCCACCCUUGUGGGAUUGAUAAAAGAUUGCACAAGAAUCAGAAUGACUUGCUGCUUCUGGAAGUUUGUUCUGUUGGUUUUAAAGAUGUUCGAUCAGAGAGUUUUCAACUUUCGUUUUUAUGUUCCUUAAUGGGUAACUUUGCAACUAGGUUUGUCGUGGAGCUCGAGAUGUUCAUCGUGUUGCCAUAUGUGGCUUUUGUUCAUCAGACGCAGGGCACUCUGUUGGUGCUUUCCUUUAGCUUCAUUCAACUGACGCACAAAGCACGUUAGUCUUCUCAUUUUGUGUCGCAAGUACACCAGCAGUUACUUUAGAUCAUAAAAUCAAACUAAAUGUGAAUGGAGAAAUGCUAUUUCAAGGUUUGUCUUUUAGAGUCUCAUAUUUCUGUGCACAAAGGUGAGUUACAUGAUUAAGAAGUUAAUUGAAUGGCCUUACAUGUUGGUUUCUUAACAAUCAAAUUACUUGUCUAUGACUUCUCUCUGACGCUGAGGACAAAAUUAUUUGAAUGCAGAAAAUCCAUGGGGAAGCUGUGAGUUAUUGAGAAAACAAUGCUGAAACUACAAGAAGGUUGACCUGGUAGUGGUAAAUUUAAUUAGGUAAGCCAUCCUUUAUUCUUCGUUCCAAUUAAAAGAUCCAACAGUAACAUCAAGUUACAUGUACUUGUGCAAAUCCACAUAAUCCUUAGUUUCCUCUUUUUUUGUUGAAUCACAAAAUCCUAUGUUCUCAAUUCAUUGCUAGUUUGUUGUCAAAUAAUUUAGCUUAUGUUUUGAAGUUUAAUAAAAAUUAGUUCUAGUAAAACUAAUGUUUAGCUUGUGGUUGGACCUUCUUGUAUACCCUUAAUGAACUUUGACACAAAGAUGGAUCAUUUUCUGAAUAAGUUUGGGAUGUACCAAUGUAUAGCUUCUGUACCGUCUCGUAAAGGUGAAUUUCAAUAUUAGUUCCUACCUUUAGGAGCUUCUGAAAAAAUGUAAUUAUUAUUUUCACCAUUAGUUUGGGUUUCCUAAAUCAUAUAAUUAUGGAGACUAUCUUUUAGAAACCUGAAUCUAGUAAUCAAUCGUUGAGCUUCUACAAAGUGUUACAAAACCACACUAAGAUUCACACAUGAAAAGAACAAAGGACAUAAAAUGAGAAAUUUUGAAGCGGAUUUAGAUUUCUAUGAGUUUAGUAAUUGAUAGUGAACAAAAAGAAAACUGAAUUGUUUUAUUUUGUUCUAGGCUCUGUACAAUAUUUAUACAAAUGGAAUUUGAUUUUUGUCAAUUCAAUGAAAUCUGUAAUCUCCUAAAAAUUAGGAGCUAAUUUAUUCUAUCCUAAAAUACAUUAGGAGUAAAUUAUUCUAUCCUAAAAUAGAUCAGAAAUCAUGGGAUAUACAUAGAAUUUAUAGCUGUACAAAAAAGAUAUUCUAGAUUUUCAACACUCCCCCUCAAGAUGGUGAAUAGAUAUUUUCCAUUCCCAUCUUGCAUGUAGUGUCUUCAAAGUUGGAAGUUGGCAUUCCCUUAGUUAACACAUUUGCCAAUUGAUUAUUUGAUGUUACAUAAGGAGUGCAAAUCAUGCCGCUGUCCAGCUUUUCUUUAAUAACAUGUCUAUCUACUUUGAUGUGCUUUGUGCGAUCAUGUUGCACUGGAUUGUGUGCAAUGUUGAUGGCAGACUUGUUGUCGCAAUAGAGUUUCAUAGGUCCUUCCCACUUGAUUUUAAGGUCAUCAAGUAUUAUUUUGAGUCAUAGCAAUUCACAAACUCCAUGAGCCAUAGCUCUAAACUCUGUUUCAGCAUUUGAUCUUGCAACAACCGAUUGCUUCUUACUCCUCCAUGUCACUAGGUUCCCAUCAAGAAAUGUACAAUAUCCUAAAGUUGAUCUACGAUCUACAACAGAACCUGCAUAAUCAACAUCAGUAUAUGCCUCUAUGAGCAAUCCUUCAUUUUUCUUGAACAAAAUUCCUCUACUCGGUGUCCCUUUGAGGUAGGAUAGAAUUCUGUUGACAGCCUGCAAGUGUUUCUCUCUUGGAUCAUGCAUAAAUUGGCUUACUACACUUACGGCAAAUGCUAUGUUCGGCCUUGUAUGGGACAAGUAUAUCUCAGACAGUCACUGAGAUCAGCAGCAGCUUCAAUCCCUUUCUCAAAUGACUUAAUUGAUAAGGUUCUGAAAAGGGUUAGAUUUUCUCAUUCUAAUCCAUUACAGGCUUUGGAAUUCUUUAAGUUUACAUCUAGGAAAAAGGGUUUUUGCAUUCUGCAUUUUCUUUGGAUACAAUGCUGUAUGUGUUGGGUAAAAAAAUUAAUAUUUGGGAGGUUUUGGUGGAACGAAGAAAAAGGAUCAAUCUUCGAUCACUUCAAGAACUGUUCAAGUUGUCUUAGCUAGGAUUGCUAAGGUUUGUUCAGUUAAGCAGACUGUGAUUUCGUUUAAGCGGUUUCGAAGGCUUGUUUUGGAGUUUGAUACUAGUUGUUACAAUGCACUGUUUAGGACAUUGUGUCAAGAGAAGAGUAUGAGUGAUGCCAGGAAUGUGUAUCAUAACUUGAAGCAUGAGUUUAGGCCGAUUUGCAGACUUUAAUAUAUUGUUGUCUGGUUGGAAGUCAACUGAUGAGGCCGAGGCUUUUUUGAGGAGAUGAGGGAAAUGGGGUUGAACCUGAUAUGUUUCUUAUAAGAUGUGUAUUGUAAGACGAGAGAAAUGGAUAAGGCGUAUAGGGUGGUGGAGGAGAUUGAGGGAGAGGGAUAUUAGUCCAGAUGUGAUUACAUAUACGAGUUUGAUUGGUGGUUUGGGGCUUGUGGGGCAACCUGAUAAGGCAACGGAUGUUUUGGAAGAGAUGAGAGAGUAUGGAUGCUAUCCUGAUGUGGCAGCUUACAAUGCUGCUAUUAGAAAUUUCUGUAUUGCAAAGAGGAUUGGGGAUGCCUAUGGUUUGAUGAAUGAGAUGGUAAAGAAGGGGUUGAGCCCAAAUGCAACUACUUAUAAUAUUUUGUUGAGGACAUUUUAUUGGUGGAAUGAUUUGAUAAGUUCAUGGAACUUGUACCUGAGAAUGAGGGAAACAGGGUGUCUACCAAACACUCAAUCUUGUAUGUUUUUGAUCAGGUUGUUGAGAAGGCACGAGAAGGUUGAAAUGGCACUUGAGCUAUGGAAUGAUAUGGUGGAGAUGGGGUUUGGCUCUUAUAUAUUGGUCUCUGACGUUUUGUUUGAUUUGCUUUGUGACAUGGGGAAGUUGGAUGAGGCUGAGAGGUCUUUCUUGCAGAUGGUGGAGAAAGGGCAAAAACC